RNAcentral lists this long non-coding RNA (220 nucleotides) under Nicotiana benthamiana. RNAcentral describes it as "long non-coding RNA (NBEN_LNC000793)". The record is from RNAcentral. Lineage: Eukaryota; Viridiplantae; Streptophyta; Magnoliopsida; Solanales; Solanaceae.
GAGUUAGUCGUGGCCCCUGGGUAAAACAGAAAAUCAAAUGGUUCUCUUUGUUCUUCACUAAUUUCAUACAAUGCGAGCGAUUAAAUAAGCUCCAAGGAAAUAUGCAUCGGCUCUUGAUAGGAAGAAUCUUGCAUUAAGACCCAAUUAGCAAAAUAACUUAAGAGCUCAAUUAACAUAUGCAAGGAUAAGAAGGAUGAGAGAUUGAAACUUGAUUCUUAAC